Molecule: long non-coding RNA, 1375 nt
Organism: Sorghum bicolor (sorghum)
Lineage: Eukaryota; Viridiplantae; Streptophyta; Magnoliopsida; Poales; Poaceae
Exons: 2
Source: RefSeq, a predicted model, not a curated record
UCUCUCCCCUGCAGAGCUGCAGAGAGGAACGUGGCGAGCAGUUAAAGAAACUGGCGGAUUAGUCCUUGAUCACACCAACUAACCCCGGUCUUAGACCGAAUUAGACCAAGGGUUUAGCUAGCGAGCGGUGUCAGUCAAAGAUGCAGCACAUGAUGCCCAGUUGGAACCAUGCAGAAAAACAACUAGAAGCAGCACAUGAAUUCCCACGGCGGGGUGGUUCUCUCUAAUUAAGCCCACGUUAACUCCCACAGUCUCUCCUCGAUCCUUGCUCUAAUCCACACACACCACGCUCAGUGUACGGUUGUGUCUUCCUCCUCCCUCGCAGGCUCGCACGCUAGCUAGCUGCAGCAGGAUCGAGCCUGCGGUUGUCUCUGCCGGAUGAUGGGGUGUUGCAGCAGGAACAGGAUUGUUUGUCCAGUGCUGCUGCUGCUGCUAGUGGUGGUGGUGCUUCUCCUGCUGAGCCCGUGUUCAGCUGAGCUGAACGCUGCAGAGGUACGAGUACGACCGGCACGGCGGCUGCUGGUGUCGCGGCCGUCGACGAGCCGGCAGAAGGCCGACCAGCAGCAGCAGAAGAUGAGGGUCGGUGGCGGGAGCACGCCUUUCAAGCAGGCGGCCGCCAGCUUCGGCCGGAGGAUACCCAGAUCCGGCCGGAAUCCCAUCCAGAACAGAUGAGAGAUCGAGGGUACGGACGGUCGGUCGUCCUAUGAUGAGUACGUCCACGGCCGGGCCUCGGUAUGUGAAGUGAAGGGCUGGUCUGGAAGAGCGCUCGAUAUCGAGGAGCUCAGAAGUACCACACUGCACACAGCACGAUCGAUCGAGCUUUGGAUAUUCCUUACCUGCGUCUGCUUGUGUGUACAAUGCAUGCAAGCUGGUACUAGCUAAACAGCCUAUUCACUUGAGCUUAUCAAGCGAAAUCUGGCAGCUAUUCAGCAGUGUUUUUCUCUCUACAACGAAUCAGCCCAGCAACACUGUUGAGGCGGACGGCCACCGGCAGCUCGCGCGCGAAUCCCUGGCGGAACGGGACCGACCGCUUCGCCACUGCAGCCGUAGCCGUGCGGGAGGGCGGGCGUGCAGCGACGGUGUCCGGCGGCCGGCAGGCAGAGUCGCAGAGAGGAGGGAACUCGACUUGCACGAGCUGGACCGGGCCCGGGCCCGGGCCCGGGCCGGACCUUCUGGGAAGAAAAGCAGCCUUGGGUUCUUUAUGCCAUAUAUAUAUAUGCAUGUGGGCUGCACCAGAUUUUUGAUGGGGUUCAUAGAGUAUAUAUACUUGUUCGUCGCCAAGAAAAAAGAGUAUAUAUACAUAUACUUGUAAGACAGAAGUUUCAUGUUUCAACUUAUGAUGAUCACAAAGAUGAAUAGAUGAUCGAUCAUCUAA